CCCCACCACUGUCUGUGGACACCAGCAACGGGGGAGUCUCACGCAACACAGAGGAGGAUUUUGUGGAUGAGGAAGAGGAGGAGAAUCCGUUCUCCCUGGGAGCCAGGCCUUUUCAUCACCCUGGAGCCGAUACCCUCCCAAGGUGGUUUCCUGGACACUGAAGCUGGAGAAGGCACCUCUGGUGCAACUGUUUCUAUGCUUUCCCUAUCUUCUCUUCGGGCACAGCUGAAUGCAUGGAGGCAGACAGAGGCCAGGAAAGCAUUAAGUGAGCAUGAUCAGAACCCAGCCACUCCAGAGGAUGGCCCAAGCAACAGAAAGGCUGUCAUUUAAACAUCUUUGAUUUGUAGUGUGGCUACAAUAAGCAAUGUGGCCUUGUCCUUCCCACCCAGGGUACCUUGUCUGUGAUCUCCCUUUUUUUUUAAAUAAAUAAAGAAUGCAUGGAUUCAAAACAA
Molecule: non-coding RNA, 452 nt
Organism: Chrysemys picta bellii (western painted turtle)
Lineage: Eukaryota; Metazoa; Chordata; Testudines; Emydidae
Source: RefSeq, a predicted model, not a curated record